Molecule: small nucleolar RNA, 78 nt
Organism: Trifolium pratense (red clover)
Lineage: Eukaryota; Viridiplantae; Streptophyta; Magnoliopsida; Fabales; Fabaceae
Product: small nucleolar RNA R160
Exons: 1
Source: RefSeq, a predicted model, not a curated record
AGCAAAAUGAUGAGGUUUUAAUAUCUGAAUAUUAUGUGGAUUCCUAAUUUAAAUGGUCUUCAAAGUUCUCUGAUUGCU